This 253-nucleotide ribosomal RNA is filed under the name uncultured bacterium. Its description in RNAcentral is "partial 16S ribosomal RNA". It matches the Rfam family "Bacterial small subunit ribosomal RNA", at positions 524 to 776 of the family's 1533-position model. The record is from RNAcentral.
UACGGGGGGGGCAAGCGUUGUUCGGAAUUACUGGGCGUAAAGGGCUCGUAGGUGGCCAACUAAGUCAGACGUGAAAUCCCUCGGCUUAACCGGGGAACUGCGUCUGAUACUGGAUGGCUUGAGUUUGGGAGAGGGACGCGGAAUUCCAGGUGUAGCGGUGAAAUGCGUAGAUAUCAGGAAGAACACCAAUGGCGAAAGCAGCUCUCUGGGACGGUACUGACGCUGAGACGCGAAAGCGUGGGGAGCGAACAGG